This 247-nucleotide unclassified non-coding RNA is filed under the name Hevea brasiliensis (rubber tree). The record is from RNAcentral. Lineage: Eukaryota; Viridiplantae; Streptophyta; Magnoliopsida; Malpighiales; Euphorbiaceae.
ACUAGUAAACCUUAAUAAAGAGAUCUCAAACAUCAAAACUUCAGCAAAUUCAUCAACCAGCAGACUUUUGCAACUGCAGGCAUGUUACAGUUAAUCACUGACGUCUAAUUUCAACAAGUCUAUUCCAUAAAGAAAGUUAAAGCCAAUUAAGAUAUCAAAGAGAAGAGAACAAUUAACAACUGGAAGCAUGAUGAUAGCAACAUCAACACUAAUAUAGACAAAUGUAUGGAAUUGAAAUGGAUGCGAG